GAUGAACGCUGGCGGCGUGCCUAAUACAUGCAAGUCGAGCGAACAGACGAGGAGCUUGCUCCUUCGACGUUAGCGGCGGACGGGUGAGUAACACGUAGGUAACCUACCUAUAAGACUGGGAUAACUUCGGGAAACCGGAGCUAAUACCGGAUAAUAUUUCGAACCGCAUGGUUCAAUAGUGAAAGAUGGCUUUGCUAUCACUUAUAGAUGGACCUGCGCCGCAUUAGCUAGUUGGUAAGGUAACGGCUUACCAAGGCAACGAUACGUAGCCGACCUGAGAGGGUGAUCGGCCACACUGGAACUGAGACACGGUCCAGACUCCUACGGGAGGCAGCAGUAGGGAAUCUUCCGCAAUGGGCGAAAGCCUGACGGAGCAACGCCGCGUGAGUGAUGAAGGUCUUCGGAUCGUAAAACUCUGUUAUUAGGGAAGAACAAAUGUGUAAGUAACUAUGCACGUCUUGACGGUACCUAAUCAGAAAGCCACGGCUAACUACGUG
RNAcentral lists this ribosomal RNA (497 nucleotides) under uncultured bacterium. Its description in RNAcentral is "partial 16S ribosomal RNA". It matches the Rfam family "Bacterial small subunit ribosomal RNA", at positions 28 to 507 of the family's 1533-position model. The record is from RNAcentral.